AACGAACGCUGGCGGCAUGCCUAACACAUGCAAGUCGAACGAGACCUUCGGGUCUAGUGGCGCACGGGUGCGUAACGCGUGGGAACCUGCCCUUAGGUUCGGAAUAACUCCCCGAAAGGGGUGCUAAUACCGGAUAAUGUCUUCGGACCAAAGAUUUAUCGCCUUUGGAUGGGCCCGCGUUGGAUUAGCUAGUUGGUAGGGUAAAAGCCUACCAAGGCGACGAUCCAUAGCUGGUCUGAGAGGAUGAUCAGCCACACUGGGACUGAGACACGGCCCAGACUCCUAGGGGAGGCAGCAGGGGGAAAUAUUGAAAAAGGGGGGAAGGCCUGACCCAGCAAUGCCGGGGGGGUGAGAAGGGCCUUAGGGUUGAAAAGCUUUUUUCCCGGGGAUGAUAAUGACAGUCCGGGGAAAAAAAGCCCCGGCAACCUCCGGC
Molecule: ribosomal RNA, 433 nt
Filed under: uncultured bacterium
Lineage: Bacteria
Description: partial 16S ribosomal RNA
Rfam family: Bacterial small subunit ribosomal RNA
Source: RNAcentral